This 274-nucleotide ribosomal RNA is filed under the name uncultured bacterium. Its description in RNAcentral is "partial 16S ribosomal RNA". It matches the Rfam family "Bacterial small subunit ribosomal RNA", at positions 523 to 796 of the family's 1533-position model. The record is from RNAcentral.
AUACGGAGGGCGCGAGCGUUAUUCGGAAUCAUUGGGCGUAAAGCGCGUGUAGGCGGCUGGGUAAGUCGGAUGUGAAAGCCCGGGGCUCAACCCCGGAAUUGCAUUCGAAACUGCCCGGCUAGAGUCUCGGAGAGGAGGGCGGAAUUCCCGGUGUAGAGGUGAAAUUCGUAGAUAUCGGGAGGAACACCAGUGGCGAAGGCGGCCCUCUGGACGAUGACUGACGCUGAGACGCGAAAGCGUGGGGAGCAAACAGGAUUAGAAACCCCGGUAGUCC